CUGUUAGCAUCACCGCGCGCGUGCAGUCUUUUAAUUCUACUUUAUUCUUCUUCUCAUUGUUAUCAUGAUCAUUUCUUAAAAAGAAUCUGAUGUCAUUUGGCCUCGCUAGUUCUGUAUUCACGCCUCCGAUCACGCAAAGCACAGUCAAUAUUCCACGCCUUUUCCACUACAUAAACUGCAUGACGGAAUUAUUAUGCACCGCGCGUGCUGUUUACUUUAGUGCCAACUUCACUAUCAUCACCGCUUAUCUACCGAUACGUUACCGAGAAAUGACAUAAACGAUACAAAAAUGCAUGAAAAUCAGCUUUAAAACUGUCUCCGCACUCAGCAUUUUUCCAGAAGAGAGAGAGAGAGAGAAGGAGGACAAGACAUUCCACCCUGCCAUUUAUUAGCCAAAGUGGAUUAAUGGUACACACCUGCUUUCCUGUACACAGCGUCACUGUAUUAGCUGGCGCAAAACGCAGCAAAAAUCCACCGAACAGCGACCGAGGCUCUCUUGGGGGAUGUGUGUGGGAGGGGAGGGGGGCGGCUUGGGCUCCCGAGUGUACUGUUUGACGACGCUAUAAGCCAUAAUAGGGACAGGCUGUGACGGACUGUCUGGGCCUCAUGCCGAAAUUUUAUUAUUAUUAUUUUCUUUUUUUACAAAACUUUGUGUAGCUAAGCAUCAAUUAUGUGCAGUAUUAAUCAUGUCAGUGGAAGGUCCUCAUAAGGAUAGUAAGCGUGUGUGUGUGUGUGUGUGUGUGUGUGUGUUAGUAAGAGUUUAUCCAGACAACACUGAUAUCUGAUGUUAUUUAUUGAUGUGUAUACUCACACACACCUGACGUUGAAGCUUUGAGGUGUAAAUCCAUGUUUUGUCUGACCCCUGCGUUCCGGCCAAUCAGAUCGUCCCGUUCGGCGUGAGCGCUCCACUCUCGGAUAUAAACACGUUUUUCACGCGGCUCUUUGAUCUUGACCGUGCUCCAUAAACAUGCGACUUAUUUUCGUAAUCAGCUUCGAAUAAUUAUCUCUAACUUCCUGUGGCGAGUUUACACAACAGUGUUGAUUGCUUCAUUUUUUUUUUUUUAUGUUUAAAAUCUAUGCUUCGUCAUUUUCUUGUGGUUGGUUUAAAAGUAGGCGGGGCCAUGAGGGAAACGGUCCCACGUGCGAUAUAACCAUGUUUCAGAGGUCGAAACCAGAGCAGCGAUAAAUCGGUUGAACGCGCGUCGUGAUGACGUCACGUGACUCGGUAUAUUUUGAAAAAUCGCACGCUCCUCCGAAUAUCGCGUAAACAUCGAUACGACGGUUAUUGAUCAGCGCGUUAUUUUCUCGAUGUGUCUUUGAGACGUCGACGGUGUACGUUUAAAAACGUAUAAACUUGCGCUUCAUAGCAAUCGUUCGACCCCUAUGACCUUUCGCUAAUGUUAAAUGACGAAUUUCCUGUUUACGAGAUCGGACACGCCCACAACAGUGUUUUAUUUAUUUAUUUGUUUGUUUGUUUAUUUAUUCGGAGCGCAGUUAAAGUGUGUAUAUUCUACACCUUGGGUAUUAUUUGUAAGCUUCGAUAAAAGAAGUAGCUUUUGUCCUCCUGUGCCUAAAAAAAAUAAAAACGCGACUGGGACUGUAAAUGAGUGUGUUUAGCAGCCCGCCGUGCCUUACUUCAGACACUACCUCUACUCGGUGCCAGGUAAAGUAAAAUGGAUUGAUACGCCGCUGUUUAAUUGAAAAGAUAUGACACGGUGUAAGGGUGUUUAAUUUUAUUCACGGUCCCACAUGUGAAAUACCGCAGGGUUCAACCGUUAUUACACGACACAGAGAGAGAGAGAGCGAGAGAGAGAGCGAGAGAGAGAGAGAGAGAGAGAGAGAGAGAGAGCGAGCGCUUACGUGCUGAAACACUGAAAAGUGCUGCACUUCCUGGCGAAGGUAAAAAAGUAAGGAACCAAUCAGACAUUGUAGUGCUGCCGUAGACCCCCCGAGUGAGACACGCGAGUCUGACAUAGGCCACGCCUCCCGGCCGCUACAGCACGGCAGGGUUCUACAGUGAUUGUUUAAAUGAUUUUUUUAACAGCACGCCAGGGUGAGUCCUCUGAAACGUCGUGUCGUGGGAUGAUCUCGGCCAGGAGGCGGGGCGAAUAUUCUGUCUUGAGAACGUGAUGUUAACACUGGAGUAGAGAGUGUCAGCGUUUUUACUCUUUCACAGGCUGUAACACACUGCAAACACACACACACACACACACACACACACACACACACACACACACACACACACACACUUCCCUGUUUCAGGGGCUUGAGAUUAAACUGCAGAGAGAACAUGCUGGUCCAGUGAACCAAUUCAUUUUCACA
Long non-coding RNA from Ictalurus punctatus (channel catfish), 2322 nucleotides. NCBI's taxonomy places the organism in Eukaryota, Metazoa, Chordata, Actinopteri, Siluriformes, Ictaluridae. The record is from Ensembl.